Molecule: long non-coding RNA, 306 nt
Filed under: Ficedula albicollis (Collared flycatcher)
Lineage: Eukaryota; Metazoa; Chordata; Aves; Passeriformes; Muscicapidae
Description: lncRNA (ENSFALG00000028433.1)
Source: RNAcentral
CUGAGGUCUGCAACCCAGAUAUCCUCACUCCAGUGCAGUCCUGCCAACAUCCAGGAGGAGAUUCUUCCUAUCAAGCCAUUUUACUACAGUUUUAGAUUCACAGGCAAUGCAGAGUCUAGACACAUCCUGAAGUUUUGCACUGGACCACUUCACUGCUUUCUCCAUGAAAAUCCCUCCAUCUGGGGACACUCUGCCCUCCCCUUUGUUUGAGACUCUCCGCAGAGAUUUCCAAAUGGAGGUACUGAUAUCUGCUCAGUGAGAUGCCCUGAGACCUGCUGCUGAAAGGCACUGUGUGAGAUCCUGCUU